This 547-nucleotide ribosomal RNA is filed under the name uncultured bacterium. Its description in RNAcentral is "bacterial SSU rRNA". It matches the Rfam family "Bacterial small subunit ribosomal RNA", at positions 776 to 1332 of the family's 1533-position model. The record is from RNAcentral.
AAAUAGAUACCCGGGUAGUCCUAGCCGUAAACGAUGAACACUAGGCGUAGUCGGUAUCGACCCCCGGCUGUGCCGUAGCUAACGCAUUAAGUGUUCCGCCUGGGGAGUACGGCCGCAAGGCUAAAACUCAAAGGAAUUGACGGGGGGCCCGCACAAGCAGCGGAGCGUGUGGUUUAAUUCGUCGCAACGCGAAGAACCUUACCAGGGCUUGACAUGUGGCGGAAAACGGCGGAAACGUCGUCCUCCCGCAAGGGACCGUCAUGCAGGUGUUGCAUGGCUGUCGUCAGCUCGUGUCGUGAGAUGUUGGGUUAAGUCCCGCAACGAGCGCAACCCCCGUGGCAUGUUGUAUCUCUCAUGCCAGACUGCCGAGAGAAACUCGGAGGAAGGUGGGGUAUGACGCCAAGUCAGCAUGGCCCUUACGUCCUGGGCUACACACACGCUACAAUGGCCGGUACAACGGGUUGCCGAAACCGCGAGGUGGAGCUAAUCCCUUAAAGCCGGUCUCAGUUCGGAUUGCAGGCUGCAACUCGCCUGCAUGAAGCCGGGU